CCUACGGGUGGCAGCAGUGGGGAAUAUUGGACAAUGGGCGAAAGCCUGAUCCAGCCAUGCCGCGUGUGUGAAGAAGGCCUUCGGGUUGUAAAGCACUUUCAGUGGGGAAGAAAGCCUUGGGGCUAAUACCCUCGAGGAAGGACAUCACCCACAGAAGAAGCACCGGCUAACUCCGUGCCAGCAGCCGCGGUAAUACGGAGGGGGCGAGCGUUAAUCGGAAUUACUGGGCGUAAAGCGCGCGUAGGCGGUCUGAUAAGCCGGUUGUGAAAGCCCCGGGCUCAACCUGGGAACGGCAUCCGGAACUGUCAGGCUAGAGUGCAGGAGAGGAAGGUAGAAUUCCCGGUGUAGCGGUGAAAUGCGUAGAGAUCGGGAGGAAUACCAGUGGCGAAGGCGGCCUUCUGGACUGACACUGACGCUGAGGUGCGAAAGCGUGGGUAGCAAACAGGAUUAGAUACCCCUGUAGUC
Molecule: ribosomal RNA, 465 nt
Filed under: Vreelandella stevensii
Lineage: Bacteria; Pseudomonadati; Pseudomonadota; Gammaproteobacteria; Oceanospirillales; Halomonadaceae
Description: partial 16S ribosomal RNA
Rfam family: Bacterial small subunit ribosomal RNA
Source: RNAcentral